RNAcentral lists this ribosomal RNA (496 nucleotides) under marine bacterium SIMO-4464. Its description in RNAcentral is "bacterial SSU rRNA". It matches the Rfam family "Bacterial small subunit ribosomal RNA", at positions 90 to 581 of the family's 1533-position model. The record is from RNAcentral.
GGCGAGUGGCGGACGGGUGAGGAAUACAUCGGAAUCUACCUUUUCGUGGGGGAUAACGUANGGAAACUUACGCUAAUACCGCAUACGACCUUCGGGUGAAAGCAGGGGACCUUCGGGCCUUGCGCGGAUAGAUGAGCCGAUNUCGGAUUAGCUAGUUGGCGGGGUAAAGGCCCACCAAGGCCGACNAUCCAUAGCUGGUCUGAGAGGAUGAUCAGCCACACUGGAACUGAGACACGGUCCAGACUCCUACGGGAGGCAGCAGUGGGGAAUAUUGGACAAUGGGCGCAAGCCUGAUCCAGCCAUACCGCGUGGGUGAAGAAGGCCUUCGGGUUGUAAAGCCCUUUUGUUGGGAAAGAAAAGCAAUCGAUUAAUACCCGGUUGUUCUGACGGUACCCAAAGAAUAAGCACCGGCUAACUUCGUGCCAGCAGCCGCGGUAAUACGAAGGGUGCAAGCGUUACUCGGAAUUACUGGGCGUAAAGCGUGCGUAGGUGGUUG